AAAUUGAAGAGUUUGAUCAUGGCUCAGAUUGAACGCUGGCGGCAGGCCUAACACAUGCAAGUCGAGCGGAAACGAGUUAUCUGAACCUUCGGGGGACGAUAACGGCGUCGAGCGGCGGACGGGUGAGUAAUGCCUAGGAAAUUGCCCUGAUGUGGGGGAUAACCAUUGGAAACGAUGGCUAAUACCGCAUGAUGCCUACGGGCCAAAGAGGGGGACCUUCGGGCCUCUCGCGUCAGGAUAUGCCUAGGUGGGAUUAGCUAGUUGGUGAGGUAA
This 273-nucleotide ribosomal RNA is filed under the name Vibrio alginolyticus. RNAcentral describes it as "partial 16S ribosomal RNA". It matches the Rfam family "Bacterial small subunit ribosomal RNA", at positions 1 to 260 of the family's 1533-position model. RNAcentral also lists the same sequence under 1 other name. The record is from RNAcentral. Lineage: Bacteria; Pseudomonadati; Pseudomonadota; Gammaproteobacteria; Vibrionales; Vibrionaceae.